Molecule: ribosomal RNA, 253 nt
Filed under: uncultured bacterium
Lineage: Bacteria
Description: partial 16S ribosomal RNA
Rfam family: Bacterial small subunit ribosomal RNA
Source: RNAcentral
UACGGGGGGGGCAAGCGUUGUUCGGAAUUACUGGGCGUAAAGGGCUCGUAGGUGGCCAACUAAGUCAGACGUGAAAUCCCUCGGCUUAACCGGGGAACUGCGUCUGAUACUGGAUGGCUUGAGUUUGGGAGAGGGACGCGGAAUUCCAGGUGUAGCGGUGAAAUGCGUAGAUAUCAGGAGGAACACCGGUGGCGAAGGCGGGUCUCUGGGCAGUAACUGACGCUGAGGAGCGAAAGCGUGGGGAGCGAACAGG